RNAcentral lists this ribosomal RNA (491 nucleotides) under uncultured bacterium. RNAcentral's name for it is "partial 16S ribosomal RNA". It matches the Rfam family "Bacterial small subunit ribosomal RNA", at positions 30 to 507 of the family's 1533-position model. The record is from RNAcentral.
AUUGAACGCUGGCGGUAGGCCUAACACAUGCAAGUCGAACGGCAGCACAGUAAGAGCUUGUUCUUACGGGUGGCGAGUGGCGGACGGGUGAGGAAUACAUCGGAAUCUACUUUUGCGUGGGGGAGAACGUGGGAAACUUACGCUAAUACCGCAUACGACCUACGGGGGAAAGCAGGGGAUCUUCGGACCUUGCGCUAUGGAAUGAGCCGAUGUCGGAUUAGCUAGUUGGCGGGGUAAAGGCCCACCAAGGCGACGAUCCGUAGCUGGUCUGAGAGGAUGAUCAGCCACACUGGAACUGAGACACGGUCCAGACUCCUACGGGAGGCAGCAGUGGGGAAUAUUGGACAAUGGGCGCAAGCCUGAUCCAGCCAUACCGCGUGGGUGAAGAAGGCCUUCGGGUUGUAAAGCCCUUUUGUUGGGAAAGAAAAGCAGCAGGUUAAUACCCCGCUGUUCUGACGGUACCCACAGAAUAAGCACCGGCUAACUUCGUG